UUUCUACCACAAAUGAUCCACUUCAAAUUUCUACCACGAGUGGUCCGUGUCGGAUUCCCACCAUAAGCCUUCACCCGAGCUUCCAUCAUGGACGAAUUCCUUUCGGGUUUCUGUUGCAGACAUGCCUUGGCCAAGAUUCCUCGACAAAUGAUCCCCAUCCGGGCUUCUAUGGAGAUCGGACCCCGACCAAACUUCUAUAAGCGGGCAAAUGCCGUGCUCACAAAAUCUAGCAGCUGAACCCCUCCGACAGAUGAACCUCUCCAUCUCCAUCUGACAUCCACCAC
This 284-nucleotide long non-coding RNA is filed under the name Elaeis guineensis (African oil palm). RNAcentral describes it as "long non-coding RNA (EGUI_LNC058316)". Lineage: Eukaryota; Viridiplantae; Streptophyta; Magnoliopsida; Arecales; Arecaceae. The record is from RNAcentral.